Molecule: long non-coding RNA, 828 nt
Filed under: Heterocephalus glaber (naked mole-rat)
Lineage: Eukaryota; Metazoa; Chordata; Mammalia; Rodentia; Bathyergidae
Description: lncRNA (ENSHGLG00000036381.1)
Source: RNAcentral
GCCUGGGAGUGCGUGUGUGCGCGCGUGUGUGCGCGAGUGUGUGUGUGCGCGGGGUGCGCGCGCGGGCGGGAGUAGGCACGCGCGGGGAAAGGCCCGAAAACACCUUAGUUUGCACCGAGAGACCAUUUGGAGCGGAACCCGAAAGUUUGCAAGAGGAAGAGAGCGCGCGGCGAGCGAGCGGGAAAGGGGUAGCGGCCGCGGCUCCGGGGACCAUGGUGCUGCGGAAGCCUCCUCCGCGGGCGUGAAGGCGGCGCUUCCACUCCCUCCCCGGGCUUCGAGGGUCUCUGCAGACACCUGCUUCUUUGGCCCUGAGCUGCUGACCUUGAGUUCUGAGUAGACCUGUGGUGUCCUUCUCCUUGAGUGAAAUUACAUCUUACCUGGAGGCUAGGUUUGGAAGUCGGCAUGUCAGUGGCACCAGAAGCCAUAUGCAUCCAGGAGAAACCAUGCUUGGGUGUGAAUUGUGGGCGAAUGAGGUGAGGUGAGGCCUAGGCCUCUGCCAUGGUGUGGAACAGUGGCCAUGAGUCCCUCACAACGGCGAACAGGCGACAUUCUCUGGGCUGUGCUACAAAGCUGUGCGGCUCAGUAGCACCCCAGCUUCCCCGUCUCCAGGCUGUGCCUACCCUGAGUGGCCUCAGCAGAAACACCUCUGCCUGCCUUCCAGCAGCCACCCUGGUCUUAGCCUCUGGAGGGAAGGCAGAGGAUGAAGGGUGCCUGUUGUUCUUCUCGUCACACCUCUUGGCUUCCUGACAGUGGCAGGGAGGAGAAGAUGUGUGGUCUCACAGAGGAAAAGCAGUCUACUCCCGAACCUGUUGUCCUUCCAACUCUGGC